AAAAUGGCCUUUCUAAAGGCCAUACCUAUACUUAAACAUCCAUUAU
Molecule: non-coding RNA, 46 nt
Organism: Takifugu rubripes (torafugu)
Lineage: Eukaryota; Metazoa; Chordata; Actinopteri; Tetraodontiformes; Tetraodontidae
Source: Rfam